CACGGGGGGAGCAAGCGUUGUUCGGAAUCACUGGGCGUAAAGGGCGUGUAGGCGGUCAAGUAAGUGGAAUGUGAAAGCCCCCGGCUCACCCGGGGAUCUGCAUCCCAAACUGCUUGGCUUGAGUACGGGAGAGGAUAGGGGAAUUCCUGGUGUAGCGGUGAAAUGCGUAGAUAUCGAGAGGAACACCUGCGGCGAAGGCGGGUUGCUGGGCUGACACUGACGCUGAUGCGCGAAAGCCAGGGGAGCGAACGGG
This 253-nucleotide ribosomal RNA is filed under the name uncultured prokaryote. RNAcentral's name for it is "partial 16S ribosomal RNA". It matches the Rfam family "Bacterial small subunit ribosomal RNA", at positions 524 to 776 of the family's 1533-position model. The record is from RNAcentral.